Molecule: ribosomal RNA, 492 nt
Filed under: uncultured bacterium
Lineage: Bacteria
Description: partial 16S ribosomal RNA
Rfam family: Bacterial small subunit ribosomal RNA
Source: RNAcentral
AGUGAACGCUGGCGGUAGGCCUAACACAUGCAAGUCGAACGGCAGCACAGUAAGAGCUUGCUCUUACGGGUGGCGAGUGGCGGACGGGUGAGGAAUACAUCGGAAUCUACUUUUUCGUGGGGGAUAACGUAGGGAAACUUACGCUAAUACCGCAUACGACCUACGGGUGAAAGCAGGGGAUCUUCGGACCUUGCGCGAUUGAAUGAGCCGAUGUCGGAUUAGCUAGUUGGCGGGGUAAGGGCCCACCAAGGCGACGAUCCGUAGCUGGUCUGAGAGGAUGAUCAGCCACACUGGAACUGAGACACGGUCCAGACUCCUACGGGAGGCAGCAGUGGGGAAUAUUGGACAAUGGGCGCAAGCCUGAUCCAGCCAUACCGCGUGGGUGAAGAAGGCCUUCGGGUUGUAAAGCCCUUUUGUUGGGAAAGAAAAGCAGCAGGUUAAUACCCCGCCGUUCUGACGGUACCCAAAGAAUAAGCACCGGCUAACUUCGUG